RNAcentral lists this long non-coding RNA (1391 nucleotides) under Bemisia tabaci. RNAcentral's name for it is "lncRNA ENSSSA2NGG013080". Lineage: Eukaryota; Metazoa; Arthropoda; Insecta; Hemiptera; Aleyrodidae. The record is from RNAcentral.
UAAAUUCAGCUGACUUGAAUGAGUCUUUUUAUAGUCACUUGAACGUGUGAUUUCUCCUUUCAUUUGGCUUGAAUUGAUGUUUCAGCUCUUCAAGGUCGAUCUGAACUCAACCCUGGAUGAUGGAUUCGACGCGAAAAGAUCAUAUCAAAUUUGGUCCAGUCCUAAGAAAUUCAACGAGACGUUUAAUAUAAAGUGGGUUGACGUUGUUAUUAGAGUGAACGUGCUAGAGCCAUUUGCGCUCAUUUUCAAACAAUAUUUGCAAGCAGAGAGCGGGAGGACUGGGUGAUAUUCGAUGAUCUUCUAGUUAAAUACACACCAUGCGAAUCUCCAGAAGCAGUUGAAGGAUUCAAGCCGAGGAUACAAAAACAAAGUUUCUACAACAGACUGUUUCCUUCCGCUCCCAAAACAUUUACUCCAGGUCCUCCGAAUCCGAAAUCGUGGAGAUCGCUUUGGGGAUUAUUUCCAAAAGAACCUCGGUCAAAAGCAUCGACUCAAAACUCGUCCUUGCUAUCAUCUUGGCGGAAACGGUUUUCCGGAUCAUCUUUACGGAGACGAAUUUCCCGAUCAUCUUUGCGGAGACGGUUUUCCGGAUUAUUUAGAAAGAGAUCGUCUUCCGGAUCACCCACUCCGGAAUCGUCCUCGAAACCAUCUCUACGGAAGCGGUUGGCCGGAUUAUUCUCAAGGAAAUCGUCAUCAACACCACCAGCUUCGGAAUCGACACAGCCUAAGCCCUCCAGCGGAAAAAGAUUCUUCAGCAAUUUGAAGCCUAAUAUGACAUCCAUAUUCCGAAACUCGUUUAGUCGAAUCCGUAAGCGGUCGAAAUCGAAUUCGGAUAAAAAGUGAGAUGGAGAGAACCACACAGUUAAAAAUUUCCGUGUAAAUGGGCACUUGGCUUACUUUGCAUUACUCCUUUCCGGUCGGAUCAACCAAAAAAACUUGGUUGAUUGACCAAAUUUUUUGUUAAAGUGCCCGUAACAAGGUUACUCUAAGUCAUCUGGGGAUGAAGAUAGUGUCCCGCUGGACUAAUGUGCUCUUAUUCAGAGGCGGGUCCAGCAAUUUGGCAACACCGGAUUCCCUUGAUUUAAACCUAUGUCAAAUAAUCGAUUCUUGUCGAAGCACCUGGUCAAAAUAAUCAAUAAAUAAGGUCUGGUCAAUAAAUCAAUCUUAUUACAUCUUGCAAAAAUAAACUAACAUUUUUGGCUCAUCCUUAAACACAUCCAUCUACAUAGGGAAACCAGGGUCACAUCCGUCGUUACCAGUGGCGUGGCGUGAACAAUCGAUUAUCGAUAUUUCCCCAUUUAAACCUAUGGUAAAGAAUCGAUUAUGAAGGUGUUCGUUGCGAACACCCUGUAUGUCGAUUCCUUUUCAUAGGAUUAAAUGGCAGAUCAAUC